GAUGAACGCUAGCGAUAGGCUUAACACAUGCAAGUCGAGGGGCAGCAUGGUCUUAGCUUGCUAAUACUGAUGGCGACCGGCGCACGGGUGCGUAACGCGUAUGCAACUUGCCUCACAGAGGUGAAUAACCCGUCGCAAGACUGACUAAUACCGCGUACACUCCAUCUUUGGUUUUCAAGUGAGAGGUAAUUAAAUUAUCUGUUAGAUAUGCAUGCGUUCCAUUAUCUAGUUGGUGAGGUAACGGCUCACCAAGGAGACGAUGGGUAGGGGAACUGAGAGGCUGACACACUACAACGGUGCUGAGACACGGACCAGAAUGCGACGGGAGGGAGCAGUGACGAACAUUGGUCGAGGAGCGAGAGCCUGAACAAGCCAAGUCGGGUAAAGGAGGAUUGUCUUAUGGAUUGUAUACUUCUUUUAUACGGGAAUAGCAAGAGUAACGUGUGACUCCCUGAAGGUACCGUAUGAAUAAGCAUCGGCUAACUCCGUG
RNAcentral lists this ribosomal RNA (490 nucleotides) under uncultured bacterium. RNAcentral describes it as "partial 16S ribosomal RNA". It matches the Rfam family "Bacterial small subunit ribosomal RNA", at positions 28 to 507 of the family's 1533-position model. The record is from RNAcentral.